CGGAGAUAUUCAAGAAUCACCGGAGAAUUUCAACGGUCACCGCCGGAAAAAAAUCAGGCUAAAAACGAGAGGAUUCCAGGGAUGAAACAUGGUGGUUUUUACAGAGAGAGAUGCAGGGAUGGGAUGGUGGUGAUGAGUCAACUUGUGCAGAUUUAUUUUUGUAUUGAUUUAUAUAUUUAUAUGAAGAAGAUUAUUUGUUUUCAGUU
Helianthus annuus (common sunflower) is the source of this 206-nucleotide long non-coding RNA. RefSeq lists it as uncharacterized. The transcript is spliced from 2 exons. The record is from RefSeq and is a predicted model, not a curated record. Lineage: Eukaryota; Viridiplantae; Streptophyta; Magnoliopsida; Asterales; Asteraceae.